RNAcentral lists this ribosomal RNA (676 nucleotides) under uncultured bacterium. Its description in RNAcentral is "bacterial SSU rRNA". It matches the Rfam family "Bacterial small subunit ribosomal RNA", at positions 226 to 916 of the family's 1533-position model. The record is from RNAcentral.
AUGGCUCGCGCCUGAUUAGAUAGUUGGUGGGGUAACGGCCUACCAAGUCAACGAUCAGUAGCCGGACUGAGAGGUCGAUCGGCCACAUUGGGACUGAGACACGGCCCAGACUCCUACGGGAGGCAGCAGUGGGGAAUAUUGCACAAUGGGCGAAAGCCUGAUGCAGCGACGCCGCGUGAGGGAAGAAGGUUUUCGGAUUGUAAACCUCUGUCUUCGGGGACGAAACAAAUGACGGUACCCGAGGAGGAAGCCACGGCUAACUACGUGCCAGCAGCCGCGGUAAAACGUAGGUGGCAAGCGUUGUCCGGAAUUACUGGGUGUAAAGGGAGCGCAGGCGGGAUGCCAAGUCGGGCGUGAAAUCUAUGGGCUCAACCCAUAAAUUGCGCUCGAAACUGGCGUUCUUGAGUGAUGGAGAGGCAGGCGGAAUUCCCGGUGUAGCGGUGGAAUGCGUAGAUAUCGGGAGGAACACCAGUGGCGAAGGCGGCCUGCUGGACAUUAACUGACGCUGAGGCUCGAAAGUGUGGGGAGCAAACAGGAUUAGAUACCCUGGUAGUCCACACCGUAAACGAUGAUUACUAGGUGUGGGGGGAUAGACCCCCUCCGUGCCGCAGCUAACGCAAUAAGUAAUCCACCUGGGGAGUACGGCCCCAAGGCUGAAACUCAAAGGAAUUGACGG